Non-coding RNA from Myotis brandtii (Brandt's bat), 108 nucleotides. The record is from Rfam. Lineage: Eukaryota; Metazoa; Chordata; Mammalia; Chiroptera; Vespertilionidae.
CAUGCACCAGUGGGGUCCCUCGGCCUGGCCUGCACCUUUUGGGGGAUGUUGGAGAGCUGGUUUCAGCUCGAUCCCACAGGCCAGGCUGAGGGACCCCACUGGUGCACA